UUCAGUGACGAUAACUGCUGCAUAGGAAGUGCCGUCUUAUGCGAAACUGACGAUUGAAGCUGUUCUGAGA
Molecule: small nucleolar RNA, 70 nt
Organism: Gymnodraco acuticeps
Lineage: Eukaryota; Metazoa; Chordata; Actinopteri; Perciformes; Bathydraconidae
Product: small nucleolar RNA SNORD49
Exons: 1
Source: RefSeq, a predicted model, not a curated record